This 427-nucleotide long non-coding RNA is filed under the name Ananas comosus (pineapple). Its description in RNAcentral is "long non-coding RNA (ACOM_LNC013060)". Lineage: Eukaryota; Viridiplantae; Streptophyta; Magnoliopsida; Poales; Bromeliaceae. The record is from RNAcentral.
GUGUGGUGUAUAGUUAAGAAAAACCAGUUGUUUUCGCAAUUGGAUGGCUGGAUUGAAAACAGAAAAACGAAAUGAACAUGCAGCAGGAUACGUGAUAUAUGCUACUUACGACGUGCAUUAGGUGCAGACAAGAAUUCCUUUACCACGAAAGUACUUUAAGUGAAUGUUGGAUCGUUGGCACUAACCAUUAAUCCCAAAAGCUCAAGCUGUUAGAAAUAUACUCUCAAUUCACUUAAAACAUACAGACACAACGCCAAGGGCCUUGAUUGUGACUUGGCCUAACCAGCCUUACGUCAUAUCAAACAUGAUUCGACCGAAUCCAGCAUCUCUCAAUUUCGAACGUACGUAAUUCCAUCUAAUUUGACCUCCCGUUACUUAUAAGGUAGGAUGCUGGCUCCUUUAAGCUAAUAGUGAAGACUUAAACUCA